Molecule: transfer RNA, 66 nt
Filed under: Conus trochulus
Lineage: Eukaryota; Metazoa; Mollusca; Gastropoda; Neogastropoda; Conidae
Also listed under: 1 other name
Description: tRNA-Tyr
Rfam family: tRNA
About the family: Transfer RNA (tRNA) molecules are approximately 80 nucleotides in length. Their secondary structure includes four short double-helical elements and three loops (D, anti-codon, and T loops). Further hydrogen bonds mediate the characteristic L-shaped molecular structure. tRNAs have two regions of fundamental functional importance: the anti-codon, which is responsible for specific mRNA codon recognition, and the 3' end, to which the tRNAs corresponding amino acid is attached (by aminoacyl-tRNA synthetases). tRNAs cope with the degeneracy of the genetic code in two manners: having more than one tRNA (with a specific anti-codon) for a particular amino acid; and 'wobble' base-pairing, i.e. permitting non-standard base-pairing at the 3rd anti-codon position.
Source: RNAcentral
UGUCUGGUGGCUGAGCUAAAAGCGAUAGACUGUAGAUCUAUUAACGGAAUUAAGUUUCCCCGACGA